Molecule: ribosomal RNA, 760 nt
Filed under: uncultured fungus
Lineage: Eukaryota; Fungi
Description: eukaryotic LSU rRNA
Rfam family: Eukaryotic large subunit ribosomal RNA
Source: RNAcentral
AGCAUAUUAAUAAGGGGAGGAAAAGAAACUAACAAGGAUUCCCUUAGUAACGGCGAGUGAAGCGGGAAUAGCUCAACAUGAAAAUCGGUGUCCUAAGCGGGACUUCGAAUNGUAGCCUAGAGACGCGUUAUCAGCGUGUGACCCAGGAAUAAGUCCUUNGGAAGAAGGCAUCAAAGAGGGUGAGAAUCCCGUCCUUGUCCUGGAGUUCGCCGCGUACGAUGCGCGUUCGAAGAGUCGAGUUGUUUGGGAUUGCAGCUCUAGAUGGGUGGUAAGUUUCAUCUAAAGCUAAAUAUUGGCGAGAGACCGAUAGCGAACAAGUACCGUGAGGGAAAGAUGAAAAGAACUUUGAAAAGAGAGUUAAAAAGUACUUGAAAUUGCUAAGAGGGAACCGCUGGAACCCAGUGCUACCCAUGGUCAUUUUUGCCGUUUGCUCUUGAAGGGGCGUAGUUCUAGUUCGCAAGUCUAGUUCUGCGUUUGGACAGGUGGUAGGCGGUACUGUGAUUGUGGGUGUGUCCGGAUCAGUUCGAUUCGCGGGAGAACCAAAGUCGGAAGGUAGGGUGCUUGCAUCUGUUAUAGCCGGCUUUGGAUACCGUGGGUUGGACUGAGGAUGUCAUGGUGCGCCUGUUGGCUUGUGACCCUGCUCCUGGUUGGCUUUCAUGGCGUGGAUAGCAAUGCUAUGCUGUUGUGGAAGUUGGCUACUGAGUGGGUGCUCUCAUAUGCACCAUCGCGAUUCGGACGAAAUGGGUUCCAUCGACCCGUC